UAUUCGCAAUAAGAAACUAUUAAGAUUCUUAAAACUUAAAUUUUUCUAUGAACUUUAGGCAUGCAUGGGAACUUUACUUAGAAAGAAUACAGAUGAGUCAACGUGUGUAUAAAAAAGACAGGCAACAUUUAAGUUGUGUGAUUCAUUCUGAAAUGCAAUUAGGUGGAAUGGUCACACAAGUCUCUAAAAGAUGUCAGUUAUUUGCGUUUUUGUAGGUGAUGAUGCAGAAAGUCGGAGGAGCCCCUCAAACGAAAAAUACGCGCCGUAAUCUGGGAUGCCAUCACGUAACUUGACUUAACUCGAUACAGUCGAGCUUUGAAAGUACUUUCGAUUAUGCCAAAUAAGAUGCUACUAAUACCCGAUUGUAUUGACCACAGCCAAAUGUAUCAAGUUACGUGCAUGUGGCUCUUGAUUUGGAACGAAAAAAUUUAAUUUAAUAAUAUUCUAUUGAGUUAGUUGAACACUUUGUCCAUCUAGUUGAUAGUAUUAUGAUGUGGCUGCAAAUUUAGACUGUUGUUUUCAAUUUGUAUAAUAUUUUCAUUAGUUGGACAUUAUAACUCGUGUGCUCUACCGAUAGCUUUACUAAUCUGAUUUGCAGUUUUUUUUUGUUGCAUGGCAUUGGAUGUGAGAGACACAAUCGCGAUAGUAUGUUAAUUAUAAUGUUGUUGCGAUUUUUAACUUUACUACCCCCAUCACGCUAUGAAAUUUAAACUAAACAAAAUUGAUUCAAAGCAGAAGGCUGCUGGUGUGCGAGUUGAGUUUGAGUUUAUUCAAUUUAUUUUAAAUACAAUUAUGCCAGAAUCUACAGAGGAAACUAUUGAAAGAAAAAAUAAAACACCAAUAAAACAGACAAGACACGGUUGCUUUACUAAGUCGACAAUUGUAGUUGUGAAUAUUUUAAGUUUUUUUUUUAAUUCAAGAAUAUUGAUGUGAAUACUUUUUUAUUUUAAUUUUUGUUUUAUUUAAUAUUUUUCCAUGAAUAAAAUUUUCAAAGAUAUCAUUCAA
Molecule: long non-coding RNA, 1005 nt
Organism: Episyrphus balteatus (marmalade hoverfly)
Lineage: Eukaryota; Metazoa; Arthropoda; Insecta; Diptera; Syrphidae
Exons: 2
Source: RefSeq, a predicted model, not a curated record